RNAcentral lists this ribosomal RNA (545 nucleotides) under Bifidobacterium adolescentis. RNAcentral describes it as "bacterial SSU rRNA". It matches the Rfam family "Bacterial small subunit ribosomal RNA", at positions 156 to 710 of the family's 1533-position model. Lineage: Bacteria; Bacillati; Actinomycetota; Actinomycetes; Bifidobacteriales; Bifidobacteriaceae. The record is from RNAcentral.
ACGGGUGGUAAUGCCGGAUGCUCCAGUUGGAUGCAUGUCCUUCUGGGAAAGAUUCAUCGGUAUGGGAUGGGGUCGCGUCCUAUCAGCUUGAUGGCGGGGUAACGGCCCACCAUGGCUUCGACGGGUAGCCGGCCUGAGAGGGCGACCGGCCACAUUGGGACUGAGAUACGGCCCAGACUCCUACGGGAGGCAGCAGUGGGGAAUAUUGCACAAUGGGCGCAAGCCUGAUGCAGCGACGCCGCGUGCGGGAUGACGGCCUUCGGGUUGUAAACCGCUUUUGACUGGGAGCAAGCCCUUCGGGGUGAGUGUACCUUUCGAAUAAGCACCGGCUAACUACGUGCCAGCAGCCGCGGUAAUACGUAGGGUGCAAGCGUUAUCCGGAAUUAUUGGGCGUAAAGGGCUCGUAGGCGGUUCGUCGCGUCCGGUGUGAAAGUCCAUCGCUUAACGGUGGAUCCGCGCCGGGUACGGGCGGGCUUGAGUGCGGUAGGGGAGACUGGAAUUCCCGGUGUAACGGUGGAAUGUGUAGAUAUCGGAAAAAAAACACC